RNAcentral lists this ribosomal RNA (473 nucleotides) under uncultured bacterium. RNAcentral describes it as "partial 16S ribosomal RNA". It matches the Rfam family "Bacterial small subunit ribosomal RNA", at positions 28 to 507 of the family's 1533-position model. The record is from RNAcentral.
GAUCAACGCUGGCGGCGCACAUAAGACAUGCAAGUUGAACGGACUUAAUCGAAAUAUUUAUAUUUUGAAGCGGUUAGUGGCGGACUGGUGAGUAACGCGUAAGGAACCUGCCUAUUAGAGGGGAAUAACAGUGAGAAAUCAUUGCUAAUACCGCAUAUGCCAUAGAUAUCACAUGAUGACAGUGGGAAAGGAGCAAUCCGCUAAUAGAUGGCCUUGCGUCUGAUUAGAUAGUUGGUGGGGUAACGGCCUACCAAGUCGACGAUCAGUAGCCGGACUGAGAGGUUGAACGGCCACAUUGGGACUGAGAUACGGCCCAGACUCCUACGGGAGGCAGCAGUCGGGAAUAUUGCGCAAUGGAGGAAACUCUGACGCAGUGACGCCGCGUAUAGGAAGAAGGUUUUCGGAUUGUAAACUAUUGUCGUUAGGGAAGAGAAAGGACAGUACCUAAGGAGGAAGCUCCGGCUAACUACGUG